Non-coding RNA from Callithrix jacchus (white-tufted-ear marmoset), 1182 nucleotides. Lineage: Eukaryota; Metazoa; Chordata; Mammalia; Primates; Cebidae. The record is from RefSeq and is a predicted model, not a curated record.
CGGCUUUCUGGACGCCAUCCCCUCCUCACCUCGAAGCCAACAUGAAGGAGACCCGGGGCUACGGAGGGGGUGCCUCCUUCUGCACCCGCCCCAACCACUCCUACACUGGCAUGUGGGCACCCGAGCGCUCCGCCGAGGCGCGGGUCACCCUUACGCGCCCUCUAGGGUCCGGCGAGGAUUGCGGAUCGGUGUCCGUGGCCUUCCUGAUCACCAUGCUGCUCACGGGUUUCGUGGGCAACGCUCUGGCCAUGCUGCUAGUGUCGCGCAGCUACCGGUGCUGGGAGAGCAAGCGCAAGAAGUCCUUCCCGCUGUGCAUCGGAUGGCUGGCGCUCAGCGACCUGGUCGGGCAGCUUCUCACCACCCCGGUGGUCAUCGUCGUGUACCUGUCCAAGCAGCGCUGGGAGCAGCUCGACCCAUCGGGGCGGCUCUGCACGUUCUUCGGGUGUUCCGGCUCUCCUCGCUGUUCAUCGCCAGCGCCAUGGCCGUCGAGCGGGCGCUGGCCAUCAGGGAGCCGCACUGGUACGCGCGCCACCUGCGCUGUGCUGCUCGGCGUGUGGCUGGCCGUGCUCGCCUUCUCCCUGCUGCCCGUGCUGGGAGUGGGACAGUACACGGUGCAGUGGCCCGGGAUGUGGUUCUUCAUCAGCACCAGGCGAGGGGGGCAACGGGACUAGCUCUUCCCAUAACGGGGGCAACAUUUUCUUCCCCUCUGCCUUUGCCUUCCUUGGGCUCUUGGCGCUGACAAUCACCUUUGCCUGCAACCUGGCCACCAUUAAGGGCCUGGUGUCCCGCUGCCGGGCCAAGGCCACGGCAUCUCAGUCCAGUGCCCAGUGGGGCCACAUCACGACCGAGACCGCCAUUCAGCUCAUGGGUAUCAUGUGCAUGCUGUCGGUCUGCUGGUCUCCGCUACUGAUAAUGAUGUUAAAAAUGAUCUUCAAUCAGACAUCAGUUGAACACUGCAAGACACACACGGAGAAGCAGAAAGAAUGCAACUUCUUCUUAAUAGCUGUUCACCUGGCUUCACUGAACCAGAUCUUAGAUCCUUGGGUUUAUCUGCUGUUAAGAAAGAUCCUUCUUCAAAAGUUUUGCCAGGUAGCAAAUGCUGUCUCCAGCUGCUCUAAUGAUAGACAGAAAGGGCAGCCUAUCUCAUUAUCUAAUGAAAUAAUACAGGCAGAAUCAUGAAAA